Molecule: ribosomal RNA, 428 nt
Filed under: uncultured bacterium
Lineage: Bacteria
Description: bacterial SSU rRNA
Rfam family: Bacterial small subunit ribosomal RNA
Source: RNAcentral
UGGGGAAUAUUGCGCAAUGGGGGGAACCCUGACGCAGCAACGCCGCGUGAGCGAAGAAGGCCUUCGGGUCGUAAAGCUCUGUCAAGGGGGACGAAGUCUACUGGGUGAAUAGCCUGGUAGGUGACGGUACCUUUGGAGGAAGCCCCGGCUAACUACGUGCCAGCAGCCGCGGUAAAACGUAGGGGGCGAGCGUUGUCCGGAAUUACUGGGCGUAAAGGGCGUGUAGGCGGCUAGGUAAGUCAGGUGUGAAAACUCUGGGCUUAACCGAGAGAUUGCACCUGAAACUGCGUAGCUUGAGGGUAGGAGAGGAAAGUGGAAUUCCUAGUGUAGCGGUGAAAUGCGUAGAUAUUAGGAGGAACACCAGUGGCGAAGGCGACUUUCUGGCCUAACCCUGACGCUGAGGCGCGAAAGCGUGGGGAGCAAACAGG